ACGACAUGAUGGGGACAUUUUCGGAUGAGAUCCUUUAAUCUUUCCCAUGACUCAUGGAACCGCUCACCAUCUUGUUGCGAAAAGCUAGUGAGAGCUCGUCAUAUCUGGUUAG
Small nucleolar RNA from Cephalotus follicularis, 112 nucleotides. It matches the Rfam family "Plant small nucleolar RNA R71". Rfam says of the family: R71 is a member of the C/D box family of snoRNAs containing the C (UGAUGA) and D (CUGA) box motifs. Multiple nearly identical copies of this snoRNA have been identified in Arabidopsis, and it is thought to function as a 2'-O-ribose methylation guide for 18S ribosomal RNA. Lineage: Eukaryota; Viridiplantae; Streptophyta; Magnoliopsida; Oxalidales; Cephalotaceae. The record is from Rfam.